This 305-nucleotide ribosomal RNA is filed under the name uncultured bacterium. RNAcentral describes it as "bacterial SSU rRNA". It matches the Rfam family "Bacterial small subunit ribosomal RNA", at positions 338 to 634 of the family's 1533-position model. The record is from RNAcentral.
CCUACGGGGCGCAGCAGUAGGGAAUUUUCGUCAAUGGGCGCAAGCCUGAACGAGCAAUGCCGCGUGAACGAGGAAGGUCUUCGGAUCGUAAAGUUCCGUUGACGGGGAAAAAAGACCGGGAAAGGAAAUGAUCCCGGAGGAGAUAUUACCCGUCGAGGAAGUCACGGCUAACUACGUGCCAGCAGCCGCGGUAAUACGUAGGUGGCGAGCGUUAUCCGGAUUUACUGGGUGUAAAGGGGGCGCAGACGGCGAUGCAAGCCAGGAGUGAAAGCCCGGGGCCCAACCCCGGGACUGCUCUUGGAACU